This 912-nucleotide long non-coding RNA is filed under the name Sarcophilus harrisii (Tasmanian devil). RNAcentral describes it as "lncRNA (ENSSHAG00000016085.2)". Lineage: Eukaryota; Metazoa; Chordata; Mammalia; Dasyuromorphia; Dasyuridae. The record is from RNAcentral.
GAAGUGUGUAUUAAGGUGGGGGAAGGAAUAACAAAGAAAGUUCUGAAGCAGUUAGAAAGUUUUUCGGGUAUCUAAGAUAAUGUCUCACCCACAGGAUCCCUCAAAGACAAUGGACGUUGUGAAAGAAAAACCAGUGUUAAAACAGUGCCAUCGCUCUUAUCCAGACUGCCCAGGGUUUCGUGAUCACAGCUGUCCUUUGUAGUUUCCUGUUAACCACGUGGUUGUUUGGUUUUUUCUGUACCUCUCCUUCACUGAAGAUGCAAUGCCAUCUUAUCUUCAUUAUCCUUUCCUCCUUGACAGGCAUUAGUCUCUUCAUUGCCAUAUUGCUGAUUGUGUUCAUUUUGGAAAAAACAACUGCGGUGCAAAACACUUACUACGUAGUCCUGUGGCCUUUUUAUUUGCUGUGGUUAGCACUAAUACUGUGCCUGAUUUCCUGUAUCCUGGGAAUCAUUUCUUAUAAGGGCCUAGGCCAGAAAAGAAGGAGAGCUACAACUAUAAAAGAAGAAAAAAUGCCUAAUGAACAAAUGUACUCAAAAGCAAGCAUAUUGUUAGCAAAAUCACUUAUUUCAAAAUCUAUAUCUCAAGGCAGAAACCCCAACUUAUCACAACUGUCCAUAUCUACCUUAGGGGAUAAUUGGACAUCCCAUAAGGGAAUUUAUGAUGCAUUUAAAGAUCUGUAAAUAUGUGAGAUCAAGUCCACUGAUGAGCAUUCUGUUCUUCCCAUAAAAAUGUGUAAAAUGUCUGUAUGUAAUUCUAUCAUGUAUGCCUAUCAAGUAACAACCUUGUUGAAAUGAGGGUUCAAGCCUAGAUUAUGUGAGCCAUUAGUCCUAUGGGACAAAUACAGUUUUUUCUCAAAAAUGUGUUUUGAAAUAAAAUCAGUUGACUACUCUCUCGGCAUCUAUUUUUAACUUA